AGUGAACGCUGGCGGCGUGCUUAACACAUGCAAGUCGAACGAGGACGGAAUAUAGCUUGCUAUAUUUGUCAGCUAAGUGGCGCACGGGUGAGUAAUGUAUAGAUAACCUGCCCUUAAGAAAGGAAUAACAGUAGGAAACGACUGCUAAUGCCCUAUAUGCCUUUAAUACAUAAGUAUGCAAGGGAAACGCUUUAGUGCUUAAGGAUGGGUCUGUAUGGUAUCAGCUUGUUGGUGAGGUAAUGGCUCACCAAGGCUAUGACGCCUAACUGGUUUGAGAGGAUGAUCAGUCACACUGGAACUGAGACACGGUCCAGACUCCUACGGGAGGCAGCAGUGGGGAAUAUUGCACAAUGGACGAAAGUCUGAUGCAGCAACGCCGCGUGGAGGAUGACACAUUUCGGUGCGUAAACUCCUUUUAUAUAGGAAGAUAAUGACGGUACUAUAUGAAUAAGCACCGGCUAACUCCGUGCCAGCCGCCGCGGUAA
RNAcentral lists this ribosomal RNA (485 nucleotides) under uncultured bacterium. RNAcentral's name for it is "partial 16S ribosomal RNA". It matches the Rfam family "Bacterial small subunit ribosomal RNA", at positions 29 to 523 of the family's 1533-position model. The record is from RNAcentral.